RNAcentral lists this ribosomal RNA (460 nucleotides) under uncultured bacterium. RNAcentral describes it as "partial 16S ribosomal RNA". It matches the Rfam family "Bacterial small subunit ribosomal RNA", at positions 338 to 795 of the family's 1533-position model. The record is from RNAcentral.
CCUACGGGUGGCAGCAGUGAGGAAUAUUGGUCAAUGGACGAGAGUCUGAACCAGCCAAGUAGCGUGAAGGAUGACUGCCCUAUGGGUUGUAAACUUCUUUUAUAUGGGAAUAAAAUGUUCCACGUGUGGGAUUUUGUAUGUACCAUAUGAAUAAGGAUCGGCUAACUCCGUGCCAGCAGCCGCGGUAAUACGGAGGAUCCGAGCGUUAUCCGGAUUUAUUGGGUUUAAAGGGAGCGUAGGUGGAUUGUUAAGUCAGUUGUGAAAGUUUGCGGCUCAACCGUAAAAUUGCAGUUGAAACUGGCAGUCUUGAGUACAGUAGAGGUGGGCGGAAUUCGUGGUGUAGCGGUGAAAUGCUUAGAUAUCACGAAGAACUCCGAUUGCGAAGGCAGUUCACUGGACUGCAUCUGACACUGAGGCUCGAAAGUGUGGGUAUCAAACAGGAUUAGAUACCCUAGUAGUC